Olea europaea var. sylvestris is the source of this 909-nucleotide RNA transcript. It is a transcript of the gene named ADP-ribosylation factor-like, with no coding region annotated. The record is from RefSeq and is a predicted model, not a curated record. Lineage: Eukaryota; Viridiplantae; Streptophyta; Magnoliopsida; Lamiales; Oleaceae. The transcript has 7 exons.
ACAAGUGCUAUAUAAACAACAACAACUCACGAAUUUCAUCCUCCCGAAAAACUAAUCAAUUUAUCGCGUUAAUCUCAGGCAGUUCACUCACUGCCUCUCUCGCCAGAUCCAUCUCUCAGGGAUCGAAAACUAGAAAGAGAAAUGGGGCUGACAUUCACGAAGCUCUUCAGCCGGCUUUUCGCCAAGAAGGAAAUGCGCAUUCUGAUGGUUGGCCUUGAUGCUGCUGGUAAGACCACCAUUCUGUACAAGCUUAAGCUCGGAGAGAUUGUAACUACCAUUCCUACCAUCGGUUUUAACGUGGAGACUGUUGAGUACAAGAACAUCAGCUUCACUGUUUGGGAUGUCGGUGGUCAGGACAAGAUCCGUCCAUUGUGGAGGCACUACUUCCAAAACACUCAAGGGCUCAUAUUUGUGGUGGAUAGCAAUGACAGGGAUCGUGUUGUGGAGGCAAGGGAUGAAUUGCACAGGAUGUUGAAUGAGGAUGAGCUGAGAGAUGCUGUAUUGCUUGUAUUUGCGAACAAACAAGAUCUUCCCAAUGCAAUGAAUGCUGCUGAAAUAACAGACAAGCUUGGCCUGCACUCGCUGAGGCAGCGUCACUGGUACAUCCAGAGCACCUGUGCUACCUCCGGAGAGGGGCUUUACGAGGGUCUCGACUGGCUCUCAAACAACAUUGCUAACAAGGCAUAAUGCUUUAUGGAAUUGUUUAUGCGUUGAUGCUGGAUGCGAGUUGGUUUUUAUCUAGUCUUAUACCUACAUAUAGUUUGUGUGUGAUGAAUUUUAAUACGAGUCUUUUGGUUUUUGUUUAGGACUUCUUAUGCUAUUAUCACAGAGCUAAGUUUUAUGUGAUUGCAAACAUAUGUGUACUUAUAUAAUGCUAUUGAUACCUUAUCUGAUUUUGAUUGAAAUUCU